This 264-nucleotide unclassified non-coding RNA is filed under the name Rhizophagus sp. (in: glomeromycetes). Its description in RNAcentral is "partial contains 5.8S ribosomal RNA and internal transcribed spacer 2". The stretch from base 1 to 71 matches the Rfam family "5.8S ribosomal RNA", at positions 84 to 154 of the family's 154-position model. The record is from RNAcentral. Lineage: Eukaryota; Fungi; Glomeromycota; Glomeromycetes; Glomerales; Glomeraceae.
GUGAAUCAUCAAAUUUUUGAACGCAAAUUGCGCUUCCUGGUAUCCCGGGUAGUAUGCCUGUUUUAGGGUCGGUAUUAACGAAAAAUCGGUUUGGUUGCAAAUUGUGACGUUUCCGGAGUUUGGGCUUAUCUUAACUUUUUUGGUUAAGGGGCUUAAAAUUGACCUUUUUUGCGCGUUUGUAGACGUACAUAAAUUUUUUUUUAUUCGUCUAUUCUUUAUUCCAAUUUCUUAUUAGAUGAGAUUACUUCGUAUGGCUUCGUUUCC